AUUGAACGCUGGCGGCAGGCCUAACACAUGCAAGUCGAGCGGAUGAAGGGAGCUUGCUCCUGGAUUCAGCGGCGGACGGGUGAGUAAUGCCUAGGAAUCUGCCUGGUAGUGGGGGAUAACGUCCGGAAACGGGCGCUAAUACCGCAUACGUCCUGAGGGAGAAAGUGGGGGAUCUUCGGACCUCACGCUAUCAGAUGAGCCUAGGUCGGAUUAGCUAGUUGGUGGGGUAAAGGCCUACCAAGGCGACGAUCCGUAACUGGUCUGAGAGGAUGAUCAGUCACACUGGAACUGAGACACGGUCCAGACGCCUACGGGAGGCCGCAGUGGGGAAUAUUGGACAAUGGGCGAAAGCCUGAUCCAGCCAUGCCGCGUGUGUGAAGAAGGUCUUCGGAUUGUAAAGCACUUUAAGUUGGGAGGAAGGGCAGUAAGUUAAUACCUUGCUGUUUUGACGUUACCAACAGAAUAAGCACCGGCUAACUUCGUG
This 484-nucleotide ribosomal RNA is filed under the name uncultured bacterium. Its description in RNAcentral is "partial 16S ribosomal RNA". It matches the Rfam family "Bacterial small subunit ribosomal RNA", at positions 30 to 507 of the family's 1533-position model. The record is from RNAcentral.